UUUCCGUAGGUGAACCUGCGGAAGGAUCAUUACUGAGUGAGGGCCCCUCGGGGUCCAACCUCCCACCCGUGUUUAACGAACCUUGUUGCUUUGGCGGGCCGUUAGGCUCCGGCCCGACUACCGGCCCCGGCUGGUAAGCGCCCGCCAGAGGACCCAAAACCCUGAAUAUUAGUGUCGUCUGAGUACUAUAUAAUAGUUAAAACUUUCAACAACGGAUCUCUUGGUUCUG
This 229-nucleotide unclassified non-coding RNA is filed under the name plant metagenome. Its description in RNAcentral is "partial contains small subunit ribosomal RNA, internal transcribed spacer 1, and 5.8S ribosomal RNA". The record is from RNAcentral.